RNAcentral lists this ribosomal RNA (164 nucleotides) under Planchonella kuebiniensis. Its description in RNAcentral is "5.8S ribosomal RNA". It matches the Rfam family "5.8S ribosomal RNA". From Rfam's summary of the family: 5.8S ribosomal RNA (5.8S rRNA) is a component of the large subunit of the eukaryotic ribosome. It is transcribed by RNA polymerase I as part of the 45S precursor that also contains 18S and 28S rRNA. Functionally, it is thought that 5.8S rRNA may be involved in ribosome translocation. Lineage: Eukaryota; Viridiplantae; Streptophyta; Magnoliopsida; Ericales; Sapotaceae. The record is from RNAcentral.
UAACGACUCUCGGCAACGGAUAUCUCGGCUCUCGCAUCGAUGAAGAACGUAGCGAAAUGCGAUACUUGGUGUGAAUUGCAGAAUCCCGUGAACCAUCGAGUCUUUGAACGCAAGUUGCGCCCGAAGCCACUAUGCCGAGGGCACGUCUGCCUGGGCGUCUCACA